UAACGAGGCGGCGAGUCGCGUGUGUUAACGAGGCGGCGGGCCAUGUAUGUUAACGAGGCAACGGGUCGCGUGUGUUAACGAGGCGGCGGGUUGCGUGUUUUAACGAGGCAGCGGGUCGCGUCUGUUAAUGAGGCAGCGGGUCACGUCUGUUAAUGAGGCGGCUGGUCGCGUGUGUUAACGAGGCGGCGAGUCGCGUGUGUUAACGAGGCAGCAGGUUGCUUGUGUUAACGAGGCGGCGGGUUGCGUGUUUUAAC
Priapulus caudatus is the source of this 254-nucleotide long non-coding RNA. RefSeq lists it as uncharacterized. NCBI's taxonomy places the organism in Eukaryota, Metazoa, Priapulida, Priapulimorpha, Priapulimorphida, Priapulidae. The transcript has 2 exons. The record is from RefSeq and is a predicted model, not a curated record.